This 336-nucleotide ribosomal RNA is filed under the name uncultured bacterium. RNAcentral's name for it is "bacterial SSU rRNA". It matches the Rfam family "Bacterial small subunit ribosomal RNA", at positions 72 to 422 of the family's 1533-position model. The record is from RNAcentral.
AAGUGGAGCAAUCCAUGAGUAAAGUGGCGACCGGGUGAGUAACACGUGACUAACCUACCUUUUAGUGGGGGAUAACCUCGGGAAACCGAGGCUAAUACCGCAUAACAUCGCAAGAUCAAAGCAGCAAUGCGCUGGAAGAGGGGGUCGCGGCUGAUUAGCUAGUUGGCGGGGUAAUGGCCCACCAAGGCGAAGAUCGGUAUCCGGCCUGAGAGGGCGCACGGACACACUGGAACUGAAACACGGUCCAGACUCCUACGGGAGGCAGCAGUGGGGAAUUUUGCGCAAUGGGGGAAACCCUGACGCAGCAACGCCGCGUGGAGGAUGAAGCCCCUUGGG